UACGGGGGGGGCAAGCGUUGCUCGGAAUUAUUGGGCGUAACGCGCACGUAGGCGGCAUCGCAAGUCGGAUGUGAAAUCUUAUGGCUUAACCAUAAAAGUGCAUCCGAAACUGCAGUGCUUGAGUACUUAAGAGGAUCGCGGAAUUCCCGGUGUAGAGGUGAAAUUCGUAGAUAUCGGGAGGAACACCAGUGGCGAAGGCGGCGAUCUGGGAAGAUACUGACGCUGAGGUGCGAAAGCGUGGGGAGCAAACAGG
RNAcentral lists this ribosomal RNA (253 nucleotides) under uncultured bacterium. RNAcentral describes it as "partial 16S ribosomal RNA". It matches the Rfam family "Bacterial small subunit ribosomal RNA", at positions 524 to 776 of the family's 1533-position model. The record is from RNAcentral.